RNAcentral lists this long non-coding RNA (1121 nucleotides) under Zonotrichia albicollis (white-throated sparrow). RNAcentral describes it as "lncRNA (ENSZALG00000014647.1)". The record is from RNAcentral. Lineage: Eukaryota; Metazoa; Chordata; Aves; Passeriformes; Passerellidae.
UCUCUCUCAGUAGUACCCACUUUAUUUUCUCCUUGUUUUCUCCCCAUAAAGAUUGAAUUUCCUGCAUGUCUGCCCAUAGGAAAGACAUCCCAUGUGCUCGUCCAUCCAUGUAGAGAGACCUUAGCAGCCACACAACCUGCACACACACCCAGAAUGAGUUGUCUGUACAAUUUUAUUUUCCACCUGCAGUUACAUUUACAAACUGUCCCAUACAAGUAAAGCAGUUUUCAAAGUGAACUCAACCAGAACUACAAAAAUUAUUCUCUUCUCUAUACAUGGCACCAGCUUCAGAAUUUGUCUAUACACAACUGCUGAUUAUGUUUAACAAAAAUUCACUAUUUUUUGGCUCCAAGGAUCUCCACAAAGGCAACUUGAUAAGUUUUAUCCCGUUGCAAUCAUAACAUUAAAGUUCUUGUUUUUGUUUUGCUUCCCUCUCCUUUCAUCUGAAGCUUUGCAUGGCUUUGUUUUGGAAUUCUAAUGAAGACAAAGCUACCACAAACCAGCAGUUUUAGAAACAGAGGAUAAAAAUGCUGAGCAAAACCAUCCAGCAACAUUUCAAGCAAUGUUUCACUUUAGAUGCGCCUGCUCAUCAGCAGAAAUAUUGAAAUUUUAGCUGGUUCCAGAAAAGCACAAACAAGUGAUUUAACAUGAAAUGAACUUUACAAACAGUCAACUUACAGAGACAAAACAAGGUCGGAGUGAGGAGCCAGAGCUGCUCACAGAAGAGAAAUGUUUUGGGGAGCCUGAAGGGAGGAAGAAUGAAACUCAAAUAUUGCUUUAAGAACAACUUUCAGCUUUAAGCAUUUCCAAAUGCCAUGAGAAAAAUGUAUUUAAAAUAUAACUUCAACCUUUCUGGAUGCAGCUCCCAGCCACGAGUGAAAGCAUUUCCCCAGGAGAGGGCAGGAGUUCUGUACACAGGAGGCAACAGGGCAAAAAUUCCCUGUCUCAAACACCUAUUUCUGCCUAAGCCUUUAGCACCACAGUCCCCCAGACAUAAACUUAAUUAUGUCAGUCAAACGUUUGUAUUUGUUAAUUCCUUUCAAGGGACAACACUGGAAAUCUGUGCUGGUUCUGGAGUUCACCAGCCUGGGAUAAGAUCAAAACUCCACAACAAUCAAUAA